GAAGUUUGUUUAAUUGGAGAGUUUUUAUUUUUAAAUCUUAAUUUUGGAUUUUUUUUGAUUUCUUCUUUGGAUUGUGAAUUACCCCCUCCCCCCAACCUUUGUUUCUUUUUCCAUUACACAAGUACACGAAAUUUCAUAAUUCAGUCCAUAGGGUUUGACUUGGACUUAAAAAAUUUUAUUAUGUUUAAUUUAAUUUCUGGUGGAAUCCACAACCAUCAAUAUCCCAUAAAAACAUCCGCUGAACAAACAAGAGCAUAUAUUGACAACUUCAAAGAUUACAAAAGCUUCACUUCAGAAACCCAUAAAACUAAUUCAAAAAUUCAGAUUAAAUUUUAACACAAAAACAAGUUUACACUUUGUUUAGUAGCAAACAAAAAUAAAUUCAUUUAAUUUGCAAUUGAAUUCUAAUAGGCACAAUCUAGGACUCAAAAGGGUAACACAAUUCAUACCGAGGCCAACAAAUUCAACUGA
This 471-nucleotide unclassified non-coding RNA is filed under the name Hevea brasiliensis (rubber tree). The record is from RNAcentral. Lineage: Eukaryota; Viridiplantae; Streptophyta; Magnoliopsida; Malpighiales; Euphorbiaceae.